RNAcentral lists this non-coding RNA (51 nucleotides) under Azadinium spinosum. Lineage: Eukaryota; Dinophyceae; Gonyaulacales; Amphidomataceae. The record is from RNAcentral.
AGGCUUCACGGUGGUGCAGUUGAGGAGCAGGUUGAGGGCGAGAGGGCUCCG